Molecule: non-coding RNA, 1574 nt
Organism: Myodes glareolus (Bank vole)
Lineage: Eukaryota; Metazoa; Chordata; Mammalia; Rodentia; Cricetidae
Source: RefSeq, a predicted model, not a curated record
UCUUACCACGCUUUUUCCCAUGCUACCAAAGUCUGCUCUGUUAAAAUGUCAUUUAUCGUUUUCUGCUUUGUGUAGUACUCUAUGUUACCUGUGGAAUGUUCUGCCAUGGUCAGUGUGCUGAGACUUGUUUCCCAGCCUGUGCUGCUUUUGGGAGGAGACGGAAGCAGUAGGAGCAGAGGAGGAGGAGAAGGAAGGAGACCCUCAGCAGGACCCAUACGUGGGUGAUCCCUUAGAGAGGGAGGUGGUUGGGAUGUCAUUAGACCCUCAUUCUCCUGAAACUUCCUCCCCGCUACCUCUGCGGUAUCCUGCUGAGGCUGUGUGCAGUAUCAGAAGGUAUGUCCUGGAAUGUGGAAGGUUAACAGACACGGUUUCCAUCUGAGCAGCCGUGGGAAAGCCACCAUCGAUUCUCUGGUGAGACCUUCAGAGGCUGCUGCAGCUCAUGGACCCUCGACUCCAUCCUUUCUGGAUUACUUUUGAGGACAAACCAUCAUGGAAGAAGGACAUGACAUAGGAGAGACGCAUACAAGAGAAGGGGCCAGGAAUAAGAUCCGUUCUUCAGAGACACACCCACGGUGAUCCACAACCUUCACUUUGGCCUGGCCUUUUAGUUCCCACCUCCUUUGAGUAACAGCUAUCAGAUUAUAAGAUGACCAGUGGGUUAGCUCAUUGAUCACAUCCCCAAAGCCUAGCUUUUAACUGGUACAUCAAAGAACCAAGCCUUCAACACACACAUCCUUUAUGGGAACAUUCCAUACACAAACCACAUGAAUAUGCAGGUCACUUAAACACGCUACAAUGACUACAUCUGAAUCUUAUUUAAACUCACUCACACAGGGAGGGAGGUUCUGGGAACAGAACGCAGGGCCUUGGGACCGCUACACAAAUGCUGAACCUUUAGUCAUAUCACCAGAGCUCCGCUGACGCCUCAGUGCACACCAAUACUCUAACAUUGUCAAUGCGCAGAUUUCCAAACUGCCAGGUCAUCAAUCAAUUGAAUUCUUUUUUUGUUUGGUUGCUAGGAGGAUAACUACCAAUAUUCUGUCAGACGACAUUACUGAAAUAGUGAUUUUUCAUGUUAGAUCAUGUUUUUCAAAAACUCGGCAAAUCUUCUGACAGACUCUUAAGACUUUUGACUGAUGAGCCACUGAAUGGUGUAUUCCACCCGAAUCACAAGAUAGGGGAUUUAACCAGGAGGCCACCGAAGCUGUUAUCAGUUGACAAGCUAAGUCACGCUCAAACCUACCGCUGAGGUUUUCAACACAUCGCUUAAUGUCUGUGGAGCUCAGAGUCUGAAUAAAACACUGAACAGGGUCAACUGGUGGAUGUUUCUAGAAGCUUUGAUAAUUCAAUAUUUUCAUGUUUCUAAUACAUGUGGUGCAAUCUUGAGAUUUUCUCGAUUUCUGAAUGGAAGUUCUACCUUGGAAUUAAAAACAAAAUGUCUGCCUUAAGUAAUUCCCGCUGACAGGUUUUGAGUCUCAGACCAGGUUCAUUAAUCUUAUUUCCUUUAAAUUAAUGGGCUUAUCAUUCUAACUUCAUAAACUGUAAAUGUAUUUUUCUAAAUAAUUGUGGUGAUA